Molecule: ribosomal RNA, 253 nt
Filed under: uncultured bacterium
Lineage: Bacteria
Description: partial 16S ribosomal RNA
Rfam family: Bacterial small subunit ribosomal RNA
Source: RNAcentral
UACGUAGGGUGCGAGCGUUGUCCGGAAUUACUGGGCGUAAAGGGCGCGUAGGCGGCCUUCUAAGUCGAACGUGAAAUCCCCGGGCUCAACCCGGGAACUGCGUCCGAUACUGGAAGGCUUGAAUCCGGGAGAGGGAUGCGGAAUUCCAGGUGUAGCGGUGAAAUGCGUAGAUAUCUGGAGGAACACCGGUGGCGAAGGCGGCAUCCUGGACCGGUAUUGACGCUGAGGCGCGAAAGCCAGGGGAGCAAACAGG